AGUGCUGGAAUUAAAAUGUUCUGAUCAC
This 28-nucleotide non-coding RNA is filed under the name Rattus norvegicus (Norway rat). Lineage: Eukaryota; Metazoa; Chordata; Mammalia; Rodentia; Muridae. The record is from RNAcentral.